UCUAACUUGGGGCCAGCGGCAGGGUGAAUACGAGGGGUGCAAGCGUUAGUCGUAAUUACGGUGCGUAAAGCGUGCGUAGGUGGGCUGUUAAGGCCGUUGUGAAAGCCCGGGGCUCAACCUGGGAACGGCAGUGGAUACUGGAAGGCUAGAGUGCGGUAGAGGGUAGUGGAAUUCCCGGUGUAGCAGUGAAAUGCGUAGAGAUCGGGAGGAACACCAGUGGCGAAGGCGGCUACCUGGACCAGCACUGACACUGAGGCACGAAAGCGUGGGGAGCAAACAGGAUUAGAUACCCUGGUAGUC
Molecule: ribosomal RNA, 300 nt
Filed under: uncultured Lactobacillus sp.
Lineage: Bacteria; Bacillati; Bacillota; Bacilli; Lactobacillales; Lactobacillaceae
Description: bacterial SSU rRNA
Rfam family: Bacterial small subunit ribosomal RNA
Source: RNAcentral